GUUAGGAAUAUUGGACAAUGGGCGCAAGCCUGAUCCAGCCAUGCCGCGUGAGUGAUGAAGGCCUUCGGGUUGUAAAGCUCUUUAGUCCACGAAUAUAAUGACUGUAGUGGAAGAAUAAGCCCCGGCUAACUUCGUGCCAGCAGUCGCGGUAAUACGAAGGGGGCGAGCGUUAUUCGGAAUCACUGGGCGUAAAGCGUGCGUAGGCUGUUUUGUAAGUCAGAAGUGAAAGCCCAGGGCUUAACCCUGGAAUUGCUUUUGAAACUACAAGACUCGAAUUCGGGAGAGGAUAGCGGAAUUGUCAGUGUAGCAGUGAAAUGCGUAGAUAUUGACAGGAACACCAGUGGCGCAAGCGGCUAUCUGGACCGAUAUUGACGCUGAGGCACGAAAGCGUGGGGAGCAAACAGGAUUAGAUACCCGGGUAGUCC
RNAcentral lists this ribosomal RNA (425 nucleotides) under uncultured bacterium. RNAcentral's name for it is "partial 16S ribosomal RNA". It matches the Rfam family "Bacterial small subunit ribosomal RNA", at positions 354 to 796 of the family's 1533-position model. The record is from RNAcentral.